Molecule: ribosomal RNA, 453 nt
Filed under: Nostoc sp. HG1
Lineage: Bacteria; Bacillati; Cyanobacteriota; Cyanophyceae; Nostocales; Nostocaceae
Description: bacterial SSU rRNA
Rfam family: Bacterial small subunit ribosomal RNA
Source: RNAcentral
AGGCGGUUUGUCACGUCUGCUGUGAAAACCGGAGGCUCAACCUCCGGCCUGCAGUGGGUACGGGCAGACUAGAGUGCGGUAGGGGAGAUUGGAAUUCCUGGUGUAGCGGUGGAAUGCGCAGAUAUCAGGAGGAACACCAAUGGCGAAGGCAGAUCUCUGGGCCGUAACUGACGCUGAGGAGCGAAAGCAUGGGGAGCGAACAGGAUUAGAUACCCUGGUAGUCCAUGCCGUAAACGUUGGGAACUAGAUGUAGGGACCAUUCCACGGUUUCUGUGUCGCAGCUAACGCAUUAAGUUCCCCGCCUGGGGAGUACGGCCGCAAGGCUAAAACUCAAAGGAAUUGACGGGGGCCCGCACAAGCGGUGAGCAUGUGGUUAAUUCGACAGCAACGCGCAGAACCUUACCAGCUCUUGACAUCUGUCGAACUUCACGGAGACGUGUUGGUGCCCGCAAG